UACGGAGGGUGCAAGCGUUAUCCGGAUUCACUGGGUUUAAAGGGUGCGUAGGUGGGCUAGUAAGUCCGUGGUGAAAUCUCCAAGCUUAACUUGGAAACUGCCGUGGAUACUAUUAGUCUUGAAUCUCGUGGAGGUAAGCGGAAUAUGUCAUGUAGCGGUGAAAUGCUUAGAUAUCGGGAGGAACACCAGUGGCGAAGGCGACUACCUGGCCUGUUCUUGACGCUGAGGCGCGAAAGCUAGGGGAGCAAACGGG
This 253-nucleotide ribosomal RNA is filed under the name uncultured bacterium. Its description in RNAcentral is "partial 16S ribosomal RNA". It matches the Rfam family "Bacterial small subunit ribosomal RNA", at positions 524 to 776 of the family's 1533-position model. The record is from RNAcentral.